ACAGGAAGGUUGUCAUGAGUUAGAGGU
This 27-nucleotide non-coding RNA is filed under the name Cricetulus griseus (Chinese hamster). Lineage: Eukaryota; Metazoa; Chordata; Mammalia; Rodentia; Cricetidae. The record is from RNAcentral.